Molecule: long non-coding RNA, 1895 nt
Filed under: Homo sapiens (human)
Lineage: Eukaryota; Metazoa; Chordata; Mammalia; Primates; Hominidae
Description: HSALNT0058484
Source: RNAcentral
AGUAGUGUGAUCGCAGUUCACCACAAGCCUCAAACUCCUGGGAUCAAGCCUUCCUCCCGCCUCAGCUUUCUGUGUAGCUGGGACUACAGUCACAUGCCACCACACCCACCUAAUUUUUUUAUUUCUAUUUUGUAGAGACAAGGUCUUGCUAUGUUGCCCAGACUGGUCUCAGACUCCUGAGCUCAAGCGAUCCCCCUUCCUUGGCCUCCCAAAGCCCUGGUAUUAGAAGCAUGAGCCACCACACUCAUGGCUAACAAUAUUUUUGAUCACCUCAAUUUCUCUGAUACACAUACUAUCACAGAUCAUUUCCCCUUAAUGUGCCGUAAAAUAAUUACCCAAAUGAUGAACAUUUACAUUUUAAAAUUCAAGGAGCUCCCAGUAGUCAAUAAUUCCAAAGCAACAGAGAUUAGUCUUGCUAUUGUUCUGUUUUUCUAAAGAAUCUCACACGUCAUCCACACCAGUUCUACAUUUGUGGGCUUGCUAUGUUUGAGGCGCUACAGCUGCUUUGUGCAGGGCAUCAAAGAUGAAUGAGACCAGUUCCUGCUGGUAAGGAUCUCCAGAUAUGCAGUGAAGUGAGGAGCUACUACUGUCUGUGCACACUACAACGAGAGCAUUGGCCUCCACUAUGAUUUUACAGCACGUCAAGGCUGCUCCACUGUCAGCAACUGACGCUUCCCUCUUCCUGGACUCUUCUUCCCUGUGAAAUUUAAAAGGUUGAUUUCUCUCCAUCAUCCAGGUCUCAGCUCGUAUUCCUCUUCAAGGAUAGCAUCCUUACUAUCUGGUAUUAAGUAGCUUACUGUAUCACUUUAUUCUUGCUGCUCUAACAAAUUACCACAAGUUCAGUGGCCCACAACAACUUGAAUUUAUAAUCCUUUUUUAAAACUUUUUUUUAUUUUAGAGACGUGAUCUUGCUAUGUUGGCCAGAUUUGUCUUGAACUCCUGGCCUCAAGCAGCCCUCCACCUCCAUCUCAUGAAGUGCUAGGAUUACAAACAUGAGCCACCAUGCCUGGCCCUUAAUUUAUAAUUGUAUAGACCUUUAGGUUAUAAGGCUGACAUUAGCCUCACUGGGUUAGGAUCAAGGUGUCAGUGGGACUGUGUUUCUUUCUAGACAAUCUUGAGAGAAAUCAGUUUCCUUGCCUUUUUCAGUGUCAGGAAGAAAAUAUAAUUUUCUUCAUCCCUCAAAAGUUUGUAGUUGGGACAGACCCUUAUAAUAAAAGAGACAUCAUCAAGAGAAAAACAAUUUAUUUUAAAAUACAGGGCAUAUCGCACAGGACAAACCUCAGUGAAAAGUACAGUGGUCCUUUCUUAUCUGCAAGUGAUAUGUUCCAAGAUCCCCUCUAGAUGCCUCAAACUGUGGAUAGUACUGAAUUAGUGUACUAUCAGUACUGAAUUAGUGUACUGAAUUAGUGUAGCGAAUACCUACUGCAUUAGUGCAUUCUCACACUGCUAUAAAGAACUACUUGAGACUGCAUAAUUUAUAAAGAAAAGAGGUUUAAUUGCCUCACAGUUCCACCACCUGUACAGGAAGCACGGCUGGGGAGGCCUCAGGGAACUUACAAUCAUGGCAGAAGGUGAAGGGGAGGCAAACAUGUCUUCACAUGGCAGCAGAAGACAGAGAGUGAGGGGGGAAGUGCUACAUACUUUUGAACAACCAGAUCUUGUGAGAACUCACUAUUAUGAGAACAGUAGAGGGGAAAUCCAUCCCCAUGAUCCAAUCACCUCUCACCAGGUCCCUACCCCAACAUUAGAGAUUACAAUUCAGCAUGAGAUUUGGGUGAGGACACAGAGCCAAAUCAUGUCACCUGCAUAUGCUGUUCUUUCCUAUACAUAUAUACCUAUAAUAGUACAUUAGGGAAGAGUAAGAGAUUAACACCAAUAACUAAUAAUAAAAUAAG